GACGAACGCUGGCGGCGUGCUUAACACAUGAAAGUCGAACGGAAAGGCCCUGCUGUUGUGUGGUGUUCGAGUUGCGAACGGGUGAGUAACUCGUGAGUAACCUGCCCUUGACUUUGGGAUAACUUCAGGAAACUGGGGCUAAUACCGGAUAGGAGCUCCUGCAUCACGGUGUGGGUUGGAAAGUUUCGGCGGUUGGGGAAGGACUGGCGGCUUAUAAGCUUGUUGGUGGGGUAGUGUCUUACCAAGGCUUUGACGGGUAGCCGGCCUGAGAGGGUGACAGGCCACAUUGGGACUGAGAUACGGGCCAGACUCAUACGGGAGGCAGCAGUGGGGAAUAUUGCACAAUGGGCGGAAGCCUGAUGCAGCAACGCCGCGUGCGGGAUGACGGCCUUCCGGUUGUAAACCGCUUUCGCCUGUGACGAAGCGUGAGUGACGGUAAUGGGUAAAGAAGCAACGGCUAACUACGUG
Molecule: ribosomal RNA, 468 nt
Filed under: uncultured bacterium
Lineage: Bacteria
Description: partial 16S ribosomal RNA
Rfam family: Bacterial small subunit ribosomal RNA
Source: RNAcentral